AGAGUUUGAUCCUGGCUCAGAACGAACGCUGGCGGCAGGCCUAACACAUGCAAGUCGAACGCUCCGCAAGGGGAGUGGCAGACGGGUGAGUAACACGUGGGAAUCUUCCUAUUGGUAUGGAAUAGCUCAGGGAAACUUGGGGUAAUACCGUAUAAGCCCGAGAGGGGAAAGAUUUAUCGCCAAUAGAUGAGCCCGCGUCUGAUUAGCUAGUUGGUGAGGUAAUGGCUCACCAAGGCGACGAUCAGUAGCUGGUCUGAGAGGAUGAUCAGCCACACUGGGACUGAGACACGGCCCAGACUCCUACGGGAGGCAGCAGUGGGGAAUAUUGGACAAUGGGCGCAAGCCUGAUCCAGCCAUGCCGCGUGAGUGACGAAGGUCUUCGGAUUGUAAAGCUCUUUUGGCGGGGACGAUAAUGACGGUACCCGCAGAAUAAGCCCCGGCUAACUUCGUGCCAGCAGCCGCGGUAAUACGAAGGGGGCUAGCGUUGUUCGGAAUCACUGGGCGUAAAGCGCACGUAGGCGGAUUUGUUAGUCAGGGGUGAAAUCCCGGGGCUCAACCUCGGAACUGCCUCUGAUACUGCAGAUCUCGAGUCCGAUAGAGGUGAGUGGAAUUCCUAGUGUAGCGGUGAAAUGCGUAGA
RNAcentral lists this ribosomal RNA (638 nucleotides) under uncultured bacterium. Its description in RNAcentral is "bacterial SSU rRNA". It matches the Rfam family "Bacterial small subunit ribosomal RNA", at positions 8 to 694 of the family's 1533-position model. The record is from RNAcentral.